GGCUAAACCCUAAGUAAUCAUUCUACGAUGCACGACAAUACUCUUACCCGACUAACCAUCUACUGUAAUAUGCAUCCUCCAUAUCCCCCUAUACUUCUUCCGCCAUUCAUGCCUAAUCACCUCACCCUAAUACUUCUUCGGUCUAUCUCUACCCCUCUUCGUACCUACAAUAUCCAACCUCUCACACCUCCUUACUGGGCAUCUGAACCUCGUCUCAUCCUAUGUCCAAACUAUCUCAAUCUCACUUCCCUUAUCUUAUUUAUCACUGAGGUUACUCCCGCCUCAUCUCGAAUAACCUCAUUCCCGAUUCUAUCACAUCUAGUAUGACUAUGCAUACAUAUCAAUAAUAUCCUCAUAUCUGCAACAUGCAUCUUUUGAACAUGGGAGUUUUUGAUUAGCUAAAACAUCAUCCCAUAUAGUAAUGUUGGACUAACUAUCA
This 439-nucleotide long non-coding RNA is filed under the name Capsicum annuum. RNAcentral describes it as "long non-coding RNA (CANN_LNC009351)". Lineage: Eukaryota; Viridiplantae; Streptophyta; Magnoliopsida; Solanales; Solanaceae. The record is from RNAcentral.